RNAcentral lists this unclassified non-coding RNA (261 nucleotides) under uncultured Actinomycetes bacterium. RNAcentral describes it as "uncultured actinobacterium contains 16S-23S intergenic spacer region". The record is from RNAcentral. Lineage: Bacteria; Bacillati; Actinomycetota; Actinomycetes.
UCCGAGUUGACCCCGGCAGUCUCCUGCGAGUCCCCGCCAUUACGCGCUGGCAACACAGGACAAGGGUUGCGCUCGUUGCGGGACUUAACCCAACAUCUCACGACACGAGCUGACGACAGCCAUGCACCACCUGUACACCACCAAAAGAAGCCACAUCUCUGCAGCGGCACGGUGUAUGUCAAGCCCAGGUAAGGUUCUUCGCGUUGCUUCGAAUUAAGCCACAUGCUCCGCCGCUUGUGCGGGCCCCCGUCAAUUCCUUUG